AUACAAAUAGCUUUCAGGUGCGAGGUUCCGGUUGGGCAAAGUGGGCGUGGUAUAUAAGAAGCCGCUGCGCCCAAUCGGACACACAUGUCUUCCUCAAGCUUGGCUGUGACUCGCGUCUCAGGGACUGACAGUCAAAAGGCAUAACAGCAGGUGCAUGCUGCUCUGAUCUUGUGGUGGCAAAACGCUACUGUGCGGCUCUCCUCCUCGUCGUCGGUUUGUGUGUGUGCGCGCGUACCUGAGUUUGUCUGGAUUGGGAGGUCUCCCCAUAUUACCAUUGCUGCUCUGUUGAUAUCCCGGAUUCUGCGCAUCAUCAACCUCGGAUUGUGGUGGCGGCUACACGCCCUAAUUGAAGUGGUGUUUGGCGUGCGCAUUGGCUUGCGGCACCGGCGCGCUCAAUUCACCUCCUGUUGCGGCGUGGCCAGAGGGUCGCACCAGAUUCGGACAUUUUAAUUUGUUUUUCUUUAUUUUUGUUUCAGCCUUUUUGGUUUGAUAUAACUAUUUAUACAGUUAGGCUGAUAUUGUUUUCUUUUUGUUGUAUAUUUUGGAUUGUUGUCUUAAUUGUUUUUUUCUCUCUGUUGGCAGUGCUGAGGCCCGGCGGCGGUGUUGGUGUGGUGACGGUGUCUUCUUUUUUUGUGUGUGCCGUGAUUCCUGAGUUUGGGUUGUCUCACUGCGUCUGGUGCUUUACAGGGGUUUUGUUUGCUGUGUUUGGGUGGAUACCGUCCUAUAGUGGCCCCCUUCCGCCGGUAACCUCAGCUACUGUAGUUACUUUUCUUUUUUUCCCCUUUAGUGUUAUAAAGAAUUGGUUUUAAAAAGAAUAUUUUAAGAAGCAUCUAAUAAAAAGCUGUUUGUACAUUUUAAAAUUGUCUCAGAUGUCUUAAUCCACGCAUGAGCGAACUUGUGUGUCCUAUCAAAAAGGGGAGUAAUAUUCCUUGGGUGAAAUUCCCAAGGUGGCGCUGUGAAGCAAUUUUAUUUGGGUUCAGAAAUUUAAAUUUCCCGAUUUCAACCUAGUCUCGCCACAUUAUUUUGAUUCAUAAUUAACUUGAACAUUGAUUAAAAUAUUUGACAUUCGAUGUUAUGUAAUGUAAGGUUUAUUGCUCGUUUCAUAACCGGUUAGUGUUUUACGUUUUUAUUAUAUAAAGCUCUUGAAAUGCCUUG
Gambusia affinis (western mosquitofish) is the source of this 1155-nucleotide long non-coding RNA. RefSeq lists it as uncharacterized. NCBI's taxonomy places the organism in Eukaryota, Metazoa, Chordata, Actinopteri, Cyprinodontiformes, Poeciliidae. The record is from RefSeq and is a predicted model, not a curated record. The transcript is spliced from 3 exons.